UCUUGUGAAAUCUAAUGGCUUAACCAUUAAACUGCUUGGGAAACUGAUAGUCUAGAGUGAGGGAGAGGCAGAUGGAAUUGGUGGUGUAGGGGUAAAAUCCGUAGAUAUCACCAAGAAUACCCAUUGCGAAGGCGAUCUGCUGGAACUCAACUGACGCUAAGGCGCGAAAGCGUGGGGAGCAAACAGGAUUAGAUACCCUGGUAGUCCACGCCCUAAACGAUGUACACUAGUUGUUGGGAUGCUAGUCAUCUCAGUAAUGCAGCUAACGCAUUAAGUGUACCGCCUGGGGAGUACGGUCGCAAGAUUAAAACUCAAAGGAAUAGACGGGGACCCGCACAAGCGGUGGAGCAUGUGGUUUAAUUCGAAGAUACGCGAAGAACCUUACCUGGGCUUGAUAUCCUAAGAACCUUAUAGAGAUAUGAGGGUGCUAGCUUGCUAGAACUUAGAGACAGGUGCUGCACGGCUGUCGUCAGCUCGUGUCGUGAGAUGUUGGGUUAAGUCCCGCAACGAGCGCAACCCACGUAUUUAGUUGCUAACGGUUCGGCCGAGCACUCUAAAUAGACUGCCUUCGUAAGGAGGAGGAAGGUGUGGACGACGUCAAGUCAUCAUGGCCCUUAUGCCCAGGGCGACACACGUGCUACAAUGGCAUAUACAAUGAGACGCAAUACCGCGAGGUGGAGCAAAUCUAUAAAAUAUGUCCCAGUUCGGAUUGUUCUCUGCAACUCGAGAGCAUGAAGCCGGAAUCGCUAGUAAUCGUAGAUCAGCCAUGCUACGGUGAAUACGUUCCCGGGUCUUGUACUCACCGCCCGUCACACCAUGGGAGUUGAUUUCACUCGAAGCCGGAAUACUAAACUAGUUACCGUCCACAGUGGAAUCAGCGACUGGGGUGAAGUCGUAACAAGGUAACCGUAGGAGAACCUGCGGUUGGAUCACCUCCUUU
Molecule: ribosomal RNA, 940 nt
Filed under: Campylobacter jejuni
Lineage: Bacteria; Pseudomonadati; Campylobacterota; Epsilonproteobacteria; Campylobacterales; Campylobacteraceae
Description: bacterial SSU rRNA
Rfam family: Bacterial small subunit ribosomal RNA
Source: RNAcentral